AAACUGAUAACCGAAGCUGCGGAUGGGCGCGUAAGCGUCCGUGGUAGGGGAGCGUUUUGUAGGUCUGUGAAGGUGUCUCGUAAGGGAUGCUGGAGAUAUCAGAAGUGCGAAUGCUGACAUGAGUAGCGAUAAAGCGGGUGAAAAGCCCGCUCGCCGAAAGCCCAAGGUUUCCUACGCAACGUUCAUCGGCGUAGGGUGAGUCGGCCCCUAAGGCGAGGCUGAAAAGCGUAGUCGAUGGGAAACGGGUUAUAAUUCCCGUACUUUUAUGCAGUGCGAUGUGGGGACGGAGAAGGUUAGGUCAUCAGACUGUUGGAAUAGUCUGUUUAAGCCGGUAGGCUGGAGUGGUAGGCAAAUCCGCCGCUCCUUAAGG
RNAcentral lists this ribosomal RNA (370 nucleotides) under Chromobacterium sp. 44. RNAcentral's name for it is "bacterial LSU rRNA". It matches the Rfam family "Bacterial large subunit ribosomal RNA", at positions 1184 to 1555 of the family's 2925-position model. Lineage: Bacteria; Pseudomonadati; Pseudomonadota; Betaproteobacteria; Neisseriales; Chromobacteriaceae. The record is from RNAcentral.